ACAGCAGCAGCCGCGGUAAAACGGAGGGUGCAAGCGUUAAUCGGAAUUACUGGGCGUAAAGCGCACGCAGGCGGUCUGACAAGUCAGAUGUGAAAUCCCCGGGCUUAACCUGGGAACUGCAUUUGAAACUGUCAGGCUGGAGUCUUGUAGAGGGGGGUGGAAUUCCAGGUGUAGCGGUGAAAUGCGUAGAGAUCUGGAGGAAUACCGGUGGCGAAGGCGGCCCCCUGGACAAAGACUGACGCUCAGGUGCGAAAGCGUGGGGAGCAAACAGGAUUAGAUACCCGAGUAGUCCCUGUCUCUUAUAC
RNAcentral lists this ribosomal RNA (305 nucleotides) under uncultured bacterium. Its description in RNAcentral is "partial 16S ribosomal RNA". It matches the Rfam family "Bacterial small subunit ribosomal RNA", at positions 505 to 807 of the family's 1533-position model. The record is from RNAcentral.